RNAcentral lists this ribosomal RNA (1357 nucleotides) under Vibrio sp. Its description in RNAcentral is "bacterial SSU rRNA". It matches the Rfam family "Bacterial small subunit ribosomal RNA", at positions 73 to 1425 of the family's 1533-position model. The record is from RNAcentral. Lineage: Bacteria; Pseudomonadati; Pseudomonadota; Gammaproteobacteria; Vibrionales; Vibrionaceae.
UCGGGGAACGAUAACGGCGUCGAGCGGCGGACGGGUGAGUAAUGCCUAGGAAAUUGCCCUGAUGUGGGGGAUAACCAUUGGAAACGAUGGCUAAUACCGCAUGAUGCCUACGGGCCAAAGAGGGGGACCUUCGGGCCUCUCGCGUCAGGAUAUGCCUAGGUGGGAUUAGCUAGUUGGUGAGGUAAGGGCUCACCAAGGCGACGAUCCCUAGCUGGUCUGAGAGGAUGAUCAGCCACACUGGAACUGAGACACGGUCCAGACUCCUACGGGAGGCAGCAGUGGGGAAUAUUGCACAAUGGGCGCAAGCCUGAUGCAGCCAUGCCGCGUGUGUGAAGAAGGCCUUCGGGUUGUAAAGCACUUUCAGUCGUGAGGAAGGUGGUGUAGUUAAUAGCUGCAUCAUUUGACGUUAGCGACAGAAGAAGCACCGGCUAACUCCGUGCCAGCAGCCGCGGUAAUACGGAGGGUGCGAGCGUUAAUCGGAAUUACUGGGCGUAAAGCGCAUGCAGGUGGUUUGUUAAGUCAGAUGUGAAAGCCCGGGGCUCAACCUCGGAAUAGCAUUUGAAACUGGCAGACUAGAGUACUGUAGAGGGGGGUAGAAUUUCAGGUGUAGCGGUGAAAUGCGUAGAGAUCUGAAGGAAUACCGGUGGCGAAGGCGGCCCCCUGGACAGAUACUGACACUCAGAUGCGAAAGCGUGGGGAGCAAACAGGAUUAGAUACCCUGGUAGUCCACGCCGUAAACGAUGUCUACUUGGAGGUUGUGGCCUUGAGCCGUGGCUUUCGGAGCUAACGCGUUAAGUAGACCGCCUGGGGAGUACGGUCGCAAGAUUAAAACUCAAAUGAAUUGACGGGGGCCCGCACAAGCGGUGGAGCAUGUGGUUUAAUUCGAUGCAACGCGAAGAACCUUACCUACUCUUGACAUCCAGAGAACUUUCCAGAGAUGGAUUGGUGCCUUCGGGAACUCUGAGACAGGUGCUGCAUGGCUGUCGUCAGCUCGUGUUGUGAAAUGUUGGGUUAAGUCCCGCAACGAGCGCAACCCUUAUCCUUGUUUGCCAGCGAGUAAUGUCGGGAACUCCAGGGAGACUGCCGGUGAUAAACCGGAGGAAGGUGGGGACGACGUCAAGUCAUCAUGGCCCUUACGAGUAGGGCUACACACGUGCUACAAUGGCGCAUACAGAGGGCGGCCAACUUGCGAAAGUGAGCGAAUCCCAAAAAGUGCGUCGUAGUCCGGAUUGGAGUCUGCAACUCGACUCCAUGAAGUCGGAAUCGCUAGUAAUCGUGGAUCAGAAUGCCACGGUGAAUACGUUCCCGGGCCUUGUACACACCGCCCGUCACACCAUGGGAGUGGGCUGCAAAAGAA